GGAUGGGUGGCCGAGCGGUUGAAGGCACCGGUCUUGAAAACCGGCAGGGGCUAACACCCCUCGUGGGUUCGAAUCCCACCCCAUCCGCCA
This 90-nucleotide transfer RNA is filed under the name Inquilinus sp. RNAcentral describes it as "tRNA-Ser". It matches the Rfam family "tRNA". Rfam says of the family: Transfer RNA (tRNA) molecules are approximately 80 nucleotides in length. Lineage: Bacteria; Pseudomonadati; Pseudomonadota; Alphaproteobacteria; Rhodospirillales; Rhodospirillaceae. The record is from RNAcentral.